This 283-nucleotide unclassified non-coding RNA is filed under the name plant metagenome. RNAcentral describes it as "partial contains small subunit ribosomal RNA, internal transcribed spacer 1, and 5.8S ribosomal RNA". The stretch from base 235 to 283 matches the Rfam family "5.8S ribosomal RNA", at positions 1 to 49 of the family's 154-position model. The record is from RNAcentral.
UUUCCGUAGGUGAACCUGCGGAAGGAUCAUUAUUGUAUAACCGAGGUGCGAGGGCUGUCGCUGACCCGAAAGGUCGUGCACGCCCGAGUGCCCUCACACACAUCCAUCUCACCCCUAUGUGCACCACCGCGUGGGUCCCCCUUUGGCUUGUUCGGAGGGGGGCUUACGUUUUCACACAAACUUUGUAUGCAGUGUAGAAUGUAUUUUUUGUUUUUGCGAUCACGCAAUCAAUACAACUUUCAACAACGGAUCUCUUGGCUCUCGCAUCGAUGAAGAACGUAGC